UUUAAGGAAGUUUUUGUGUGUCAUGAGGUUGUUUGAUUUAUUAAUCCUCUCGUUGCUUGUAUUCCUUAAUUCUGUUUUGGAACUUUGUUACCGUUGAUUGUAUUUUGUUUUGUUCUCUUAUAUUAGAAUUGAGUACCCUUGUGCUCCCACUAAUUCAUCUUUUGCUUAUAAUAAAAAGUGAAAAAUAUCUUUUUUUGGUGUAAUUUUAUUCCAUUGUCGGGAUAAAAUGUGAAAUAAAAAUGAGUAAACAAUAUUUUACUUU
This 262-nucleotide long non-coding RNA is filed under the name Lathyrus oleraceus (garden pea). RNAcentral's name for it is "Pisum sativum (pea) long non-coding RNA (PSAT_LNC036152)". Lineage: Eukaryota; Viridiplantae; Streptophyta; Magnoliopsida; Fabales; Fabaceae. The record is from RNAcentral.